AUUGAACGCUGGCGGCAUGCCUUACACAUGUAAGUCGAACGGCAGCAUGAUCUAGCUUGCUAGAUUGAUGGCGAGUGGCGAACGGGUGAGUAAUACAUCGGAACGUGCCCUGUAGUGGGGGAUAACUAGUCGAAAGAUUAGCUAAUACCGCAUACGACCUGAGGGUGAAAGUGGGGGACCGCAAGGCCUCAUGCUAUAGGAGCGGCCGAUGUCUGAUUAGCUAGUUGGUGAGGUAAAGGCUCACCAAGGCGACGAUCAGUAGCUGGUCUGAGAGGACGAUCAGCCACACUGGGACUGAGACACGGCCCAGACUCCUACGGGAGGCAGCAGUGGGGAAUUUUGGACAAUGGGCGAAAGCCUGAUCCAGCAAUGCCGCGUGUGUGAAGAAGGCCUUCGGGUUGUAAAGCACUUUUGUCCGGAAAGAAAUGGCUCUGGUUAAUACCUGGGGUCGAUGACGGUACCGGAAGAAUAAGGACCGGCUAACUACGU
This 489-nucleotide ribosomal RNA is filed under the name uncultured bacterium. RNAcentral describes it as "partial 16S ribosomal RNA". It matches the Rfam family "Bacterial small subunit ribosomal RNA", at positions 30 to 506 of the family's 1533-position model. The record is from RNAcentral.